This 45-nucleotide non-coding RNA is filed under the name Schistosoma bovis. Lineage: Eukaryota; Metazoa; Platyhelminthes; Trematoda; Strigeidida; Schistosomatidae. The record is from RNAcentral. RNAcentral also lists the same sequence under 1 other name.
AUCAGGCUGAUGAGUCGCAAAUGGGACGGAACGCGAGUCCUGGAU